Molecule: ribosomal RNA, 449 nt
Filed under: uncultured bacterium
Lineage: Bacteria
Description: partial 16S ribosomal RNA
Rfam family: Bacterial small subunit ribosomal RNA
Source: RNAcentral
GCCCAGACUCCUACGGGAGGCAGCAGUGGGGAAUAUUGCACAAUGGGGGAAACCCUGAUGCAGCGACGCCGCGUGAGCGAUGAAGUAUUUCGGUAUGUAAAGCUCUAUCAGCAGGGAAGAAAAUGACGGUACCUGACUAAGAAGCCCCGGCUAACUACGUGCCAGCAGCCGCGGUAAUACGUAGGGGGCAAGCGUUAUCCGGAUUUACUGGGUGUAAAGGGAGCGUAGACGGCAAUGCAAGCCAGAUGUGAAAGCCCGGGGCUCAACCCCGGGACUGCAUUUGGAACUGUGUAGCUGGAGUGUCGGAGAGGCAGGCGGAAUUCCUAGUGUAGCGGUGAAAUGCGUAGAUAUUAGGAGGAACACCAGUGGCGAAGGCGGCCUGCUGGACGAUGACUGACGCUGAGGCUCGAAAGCGUGGGGAGCAAACAGGAUUAGAUACCCCCGUACUC